Molecule: long non-coding RNA, 409 nt
Organism: Sarcophilus harrisii (Tasmanian devil)
Lineage: Eukaryota; Metazoa; Chordata; Mammalia; Dasyuromorphia; Dasyuridae
Exons: 3
Source: RefSeq, a predicted model, not a curated record
GACCCCAAAAGGUGAGGGGUCAGAGACCCGUGUCAGGAGGUGUCUCAAGGCUUGAAGCCAUCUCCAAGUCAAGGGGCAAAGUUUAUUGCAAUUGUAAUGCCAAUUGCUGCGGCUGAGUUCCAAACCGGUGUAGCAAAGAACCAGGAGCAAGGAGACAGAUUUAUAAGACACUUUGCAUAGAGUGUACAGUAGGAGGAGACUGGUGCUGCUUUCACACAGGAGGCUGAAAACCAGUAUCAAGAGACUUGCGUGGCUGGGAUGAAAUGGCUACGAUGGUGCCUUCUCACCUCAUCAUAUCAGCAGGAGACUCAAAUCUUGUCUUCCAUUGGAGGCUGGAGAUCAGACGAGAUAUUCAAGGCCUGAUGGUAGCAUAGAAUUAGCCGAGUCAAGCGCCGAAGGGCCGGUGCUU